CUUACACAUCUCAAAUUCUUUUUAAAAAUUUGGGAGUGUUCCCACUUUGCAAGCAUCCCGAGUGCGUCCUGGGUGUGACUCUUCUGUGAUCUGGCACUUGGCACAGGAAGUAAAAGCGGUAGACAUUUUUAUAGGGUACAGGUGAUCAACCAGCGGGGCUGCAAAAUCUCUGGAACCAGCUGCCCACUCUGCACCCAAGGGCCACACCCACCGCUGUCUGGGCAGAAGUGAGAAUUCAGGGGAGCAUGGAAAUCAGAACAGACCCAUCUCUGAAUGGCCUCGGGCUAUGCGGCUCAUGAGGGGCACGGAACCCACGCCAGUGAAACAUCAGGGAAUGGAGGGAGGUGGGAACCUUUGCCCACCUUUGCAGCAAGAGCCGUUUCAUCUCAAUCUCUUCAUCAGCCUGGGCACAGAGGGCUGCAGUGGGACGGCCCUGGGUUCUCUGCAGGUUGGCACCGAAGCCAACCCAUGGGCUCUGGUGGCGAGUGCUGCGUGACUUGGCUUCAACACUACCCAACACUCUGGAAUUCAUCAGUUGGGGGUGGAGGUUUCCAUUGUAGAAAACAAACCCACCAGGUUUGCCCAGGUGUUAACUAUUUACAGUAGAAACAGGCCAGCCAGGCAGUCUCAGGCUGUCUCUGCCAUCUGGGCUUCCAGACAGUGAAAUGGAGGCAGCAGAGACAGGUGGAGGCUCCCAGAGAGGCAGAAUUGACAGGGGAGGGCACCCAGGAAGCCAGAAUCACCGGUGGAGGCAUCCAGGAAGCCAGAAUUGACAGGUGAAGGUGCCCAGGGCCAUCUGAAGCACACAUGCAGCCUCCAAGUCUCACUCACCCAGAGUGGACCCAGAAGAGUCACUGGAUGGAGCCCCGGGGAGUGUGGGCUCGGGGUCAGGGUCUCCAGGACUCUGCUCCAUCAUGGGCCUUCUAGUAAGAAGAGUCAGUUCUUCGGACUGGAGGUCUUCCCAGAAAACAAAACAUUUCUUUCAGCCUGAUGCAGUGGCUCAUGCCUGUAAUCCCAGCACUUUGGGAGGUUAAGGUGGCAGGAUCCCUUGAGCCCAGGACUUCAAGACCAGCCUGAGCAACACAGGGAGACCCUGUCUCUACAGAUAGUUUUUUAAAUUAGCUGUGGGUGUAGUGGCAGGCACCUGUGGCCCAAGCUACUCAGGAGGCUGAAGUAGGAGGAUCGCUUGAGCCCAGGAGGUCGAGGCUGCAGUGAGCCGUGAUCGUCCACUGCACUCCAGCCUGGGCAACAGAGCAAGAAACUGUGCCCCCCUACCCCCCCAAAAAAGUUUCUUCCUUCCUAACCUGGGAUUUAUCUUUUUGGAAGAUUCCAAAGUCCCAGCAAUGGCGUCCAGACACAAGGUUGUGUGAUGGUGGGCCGGGGAUGCGGGGUGGGGUGAAGACUUGGCCAGAGGGAGGAACAUACCCCGACCCUCCGUCCUCACUGCCUCCAGUCUGCCUGCCCUGCAGUGGGGUUGUUAGAAUCUGGGUCAGGGGUUCACACAUGGCCUGGGCCCACUGCCACCCUCUCCAGAUGUAUCUCCCCAGCUGGCCAGUGGGCUCUCGUCCCUGCUGUUCCUCCCCACCCAGUGCAAAGGGACAAGGAGCCGGGCCCACGGGGCAUGCUGUAGAGAUAAGACCUGGGUACACUGAGGAGGGGUAAGGGGCUGGGCCUCGUCAAGAAGCCCUCCUGCCCAACCUGUCGGAAUGCCUGGAGCUGGAGCCCACUGCAAGGCAGCUGGUGUCCCCCGCAGAGGCCUCCAGGUGGAGCAGGUCUUUGCUCUGCUCCUGGGUUCCCCCGGGAGAGGAAGACUGGCCCACCUGCAGGAAGGGAGAGGCUGGGAUGCCAAUUACAGGCUGGGAUCCCUGGCUCUGCCACUCCCCAGCUGCUGACGGGAGGUUGCUGUGUCUCUCCAGGGCUGUUUCUUCAUCUGCAAAAUGGGGAGGGUGUGAUGGCUCACUGGGCAGGGAGGACCCCGUGAGUUUCGAACAGUCCGUGUGGCUCACACACAGUGUUGAGGAAAACCAGCCCAUCCUUAUUAUCAUUCCCAGUCCAAAUGCCCUUUCCUCCUCGACCUGCUCCCAGGCCACCCUCCCGGACAGCCGCUCUGGGGGAAGAUGAGCACGGGAGGAAAGUGAGAGCAGGACUCAGCACUGGGAAGAGGGAGCAGGAGGGGGACUUUGGCAGGCAGUGGGGAGAGCUUAUGGGCAGAGUCCAAGUGCCUUUCCUGCAGCCUCUGGCCACCUGGAGCUCGGAUGGUGGGGCUGUGCUGAGUCUGACUCCAGAAACCCUCAUCCCAGCUGUGCUCAGGGGGGUAGAUAACAAGUUCCACUUUCCCUCUCCAGUUCUCUUCUGGGAGGUGGGUACCCCAGGCUUCGGGGGAUGACGCCCAGGGGUGAGGGUUGCUCAGGGGCAGGCUGAGGAGGAUCACAAUUAGGAAAGAAUCCUAGCAGACCCCCAGGCAGAAGAGUCAGGAAGGAGUAGACCCUGGUGUUUUGAACUCAGCACUUGUCCGGGCAGUGUGGGAAAGGGGGGCCCGGCGCGGGGAGGCGCCCUGGGAAUGUUCCCAAGGGCUCCACCGGUGUCGCUGGGGUUCCCAGGCAUAGGUUUUGGUGGGAAAAGGGUCGGGGAAGGCAGUGACUAGGUCUCUGUGCCUUUGUUUUAGGCUGGAAGUUAAAUCCAGUGGUCGGCGCAGUCUACGGGCCUGAAUUCUAUGCAGUGACGGGGUUCCCCUACCCCACCACCGGCACAGCCGUUGCCUACCGGGGCGCACAUCUUCGGGGCCGGGGCCGGGCCGUGUAUAAUACAUUUCGGGCAGCGCCACCCCCACCCCCCAUCCCGACUUACGGAGCGGUCGUGUAUCAGGAUGGAUUUUAUGGUGCUGAGAUUUAUGGAGGCUACGCAGCCUACAGAUACGCUCAGCCCGCUGCAGCGGCGGCAGCCUACAGCGACAGUUACGGCAGAGUCUACGCAGCUGCCGACCCGUACCAUCACACCAUCGGGCCCGCGGCGACCUACAGCAUUGGAACCAUGUGAAACCUUCCACCGUUUCCUUCUCGGACCAUGAAGGGC
RNAcentral lists this small RNA (3072 nucleotides) under Pan troglodytes (chimpanzee). Its description in RNAcentral is "retained intron". Lineage: Eukaryota; Metazoa; Chordata; Mammalia; Primates; Hominidae. The record is from RNAcentral.